GGCCGGCCCGCCGGCCGCGCGUGUACGUGGCGGUCGGGCCUCGGUCGGUCGGUCGGUCGGUUCUCUCGCUUGCUCGCU
Molecule: microRNA precursor, 78 nt
Organism: Ochotona princeps (American pika)
Lineage: Eukaryota; Metazoa; Chordata; Mammalia; Lagomorpha; Ochotonidae
Source: Ensembl